This 594-nucleotide ribosomal RNA is filed under the name soil bacterium Siso-S1R-M1LLLSSL-2. RNAcentral's name for it is "bacterial SSU rRNA". It matches the Rfam family "Bacterial small subunit ribosomal RNA", at positions 127 to 715 of the family's 1533-position model. The record is from RNAcentral.
UGCCUGAUGGAGGGGGAUAACUACUGGAAACGGUAGCUAAUACCGCAUAACGUCACAAGACCAGAGAGGGGGACCUUCUGGCCUCUUGCCUUCACAUGUGCCCAAAUGGGAUUAUCUAGUAGGUGGGGUAAUGGCUCACCUAGGCCACUAUCCCUAGCUGGUCUGAGAGGAUGACCACCCACACUGGAACUGAGACACGAUCCAUACUCCUACGGGAGGCAGCAAUGGGGAAUAUUGCACAAUGGGCGCAAGCCUGAUGCACCCAUGCCGCGUGUGUGAACAACGCCUUCUGGUUGUAUAGCACUUUCAACGAGGAGGAAUGUGGUGAACUUAAUACGUUCAUCACAUUGACGUUACUCGCAGAACAAGCACCGGCUAACUCCGUGCCAGCAGCCGCGGUAAUACGGAGGGUGCAAGCGUUAAUCUGAAUUACUGGGCGUAAAGCGCACGCAGGCGGUUUGUUAAAUCAGAUGUGAAAUCCCCGGGCUCAACCUGGGAACUGCAUUUGAAACUGGCAAGCUAGAGUCUCGUAUAGGGGGGUAUAAUUCCAGGUGUAGCGGUGAAAUGCUUAGAGAUCUGGAGGAAUACCGGUGG